GCGCAAAAGUGAGAGCACUCGCUUCCAACCAGUGUGGCCUGGGUUCGAAUCCCGGAGGC
This 59-nucleotide transfer RNA is filed under the name uncultured Symbiodinium. Lineage: Eukaryota; Dinophyceae; Suessiales; Symbiodiniaceae. The record is from RNAcentral.